AGUCAUUGGGUUGUCUAAACCUAGAGGCGCAGUGAAAGCAAAGGGCACCUUCGUGUCUGAGGGGUGACGCCCCUCGUGGGCCGCAACCCCGGCACUUCGCAUCGACCUCGCUUCGUGCGGAGUAGCAAGAGCACACACGUUGGGACCCGAAAGAUGGUGAACUAUGCCUGGCCAGGUUGAAGUCAGGGGAAACCCUGAUGGAGGACCGUAGCGAUUCUGACGUGCAAAUCGAUCGUCGGAGCUGGGUAUAGGGGCGAAAGACUAAUCGAACCAUCUAUUAGCUGGUUCCUUCCGAAGUUUCCCUCAGGAUAGCUGGUGCUCGUAAUCGAGUUUCAUCCGGUAAAGCGAAUGAUUAGAAGACUUGGGGGCGAAACGCCCUCAACUUAUUCUCAAACUUUAAAUGGGUGAGAUGUGCGACUUGCUUGAGUGAAGCCGCACAACGAAUCGGAGUGCCUAGUGGGCCAUUUUUGGUAAGCAGAACUGGCGCUGUGGGAUGAACCAAACGUCGGGUUAAAGUGCCAAAGUGGGCGCUCAUCAGAUCCCAUGAAAGGUGUUGGUUGCUUAAGACAGCAGGACGGUGGCCAUGGAAGUCGGAAUCCGCUAAGGAGUGUGUAACAACUCACCUGCCGAAGCAACUAGCCCUGAAAAUGGAUGGCGCUAAAGCGCCCCACUUAUACCCGACCGUUGCGGCAGAGCUGGCCCUUUAUUGAGGCCCUGACGCCGCAACGAGUAGGAAGGUCGCAGGGAUGGCGCGGAAGGCUCCGAGAGUGAUCUUGGCUGGAGCCGUCCCUGGUGCAGAUCUUGGUGGUAGUAGCAAAUACUCCAGAGAGGCCCUGGAGGACCGAAGUGGAGAAGGGUUUCGUGUGAACAGCUGUUGGACACGAGUCAGUCGAUCCUAAGGCUUAGGGGAAGCCUUGAUCAAGCUUUGGAACUAUUUAUACACAACUCGUGUUGAAUUCCAAUGAAUGCCGAAAGGGAAUCUGGUCCAUAUUCCAGAACCUGGUAGCGGAACCGAUCGGACCCUCGUAUCCGUCGUGGCAACGCGACACGACUAGGGGACGCCCACCGAAGCUCUGGGAAGAGUUGUCUUUUCUGCAUAAGCCGCCGAGGCCCUGGAAUCCUCUUGCAGGGAGAAUGGGUUUUGGCUCAGGCGAAGAGUGCCGCAGUUCUCGCGGCAUCCACGAGUGGUCGGUGGGACCUUGAAAACCCUAGGGAGAUUACGGCGGAAUCGCACCAGCUCGUACCC
Molecule: ribosomal RNA, 1246 nt
Filed under: Gelidibacter salicanalis
Lineage: Bacteria; Pseudomonadati; Bacteroidota; Flavobacteriia; Flavobacteriales; Flavobacteriaceae
Description: partial 23S ribosomal RNA
Rfam family: Eukaryotic large subunit ribosomal RNA
Source: RNAcentral